RNAcentral lists this ribosomal RNA (497 nucleotides) under uncultured bacterium. RNAcentral's name for it is "partial 16S ribosomal RNA". It matches the Rfam family "Bacterial small subunit ribosomal RNA", at positions 28 to 507 of the family's 1533-position model. The record is from RNAcentral.
GAUGAACGCUGGCGGCGUGCCUAAUACAUGCAAGUCGAGCGAACAGACGAGGAGCUUGCUCCUCUGACGUUAGCGGCGGACGGGUGAGUAACACGUGGAUAACCUACCUAUAAGACUGGGAUAACUUCGGGAAACCGGAGCUAAUACCGGAUAAUAUAUUGAACCGCAUGGUUCUAUAGUCAAAGACGGUUUUGCUGUCACUUAUAGAUGGAUCCGCGCCGCAUUAGCUAGUUGGUAAGGUAACGGCUUACCAAGGCAACGAUGCGUAGCCGACCUGAGAGGGUGAUCGGCCACACUGGAACUGAGACACGGUCCAGACUCCUACGGGAGGCAGCAGUAGGGAAUCUUCCGCAAUGGGCGAAAGCCUGACGGAGCAACGCCGCGUGAGUGAUGAAGGUCUUCGGAUCGUAAAACUCUGUUAUUAGGGAAGAACAAAUGUGUAAGUAACUAUGCACGUCUUGACGGUACCUAAUCAGAAAGCCACGGCUAACUACGUG